RNAcentral lists this ribosomal RNA (253 nucleotides) under uncultured bacterium. RNAcentral's name for it is "partial 16S ribosomal RNA". It matches the Rfam family "Bacterial small subunit ribosomal RNA", at positions 524 to 776 of the family's 1533-position model. The record is from RNAcentral.
UACGUAGGGGGCGAGCGUUGUCCGGAAUCAUUGGGCGUAAAGCGCGCGUAGGCGGCUCGGUAAGUCUGCUGUGAAAGCCCAGGGCUCAACCCCGGGAUUGCAGUGGAUACUGUCGAGCUCGAGUCCGGGAGGGGAGAGUGGAAUUCCUGGUGUAGCGGUGAAAUGCGCAGAUAUCAGGAGGAACACCAAUUGCGAAGGCAGCUCGCUGGGCCGUCACUGACGCUGAGGCGCGAAAGCGUGGGGAGCAAACAGG